CAGUCGCCACGGGAAUACGUAGGGUGCAAGCGUUAAUCGGAAUUACUGGGCGUAAAGCGUGCGCAGGCGGUUUGUUAAGACAGAUGUGAAAUCCCCGGGCUCAACCUGGGAACUGCAUUUGUGACUGGCAAGCUAGAGUCUGGCAGAGGGGGGUGGAAUUCCGCGUGUAGCAGUGAAAUGCGUAGAUAUGCGGAGGAACACCGAUGGCGAAGGCAGCCCCCUGGGCCAACACUGACGCUCAUGCACGAAAGCGUGGGGAGCAAACAGGAUUAGAUACCCCCGUGUCCCUGUCUCUUAUACA
RNAcentral lists this ribosomal RNA (301 nucleotides) under uncultured bacterium. Its description in RNAcentral is "partial 16S ribosomal RNA". It matches the Rfam family "Bacterial small subunit ribosomal RNA", at positions 509 to 808 of the family's 1533-position model. The record is from RNAcentral.